Molecule: long non-coding RNA, 37735 nt
Filed under: Lathyrus oleraceus (garden pea)
Lineage: Eukaryota; Viridiplantae; Streptophyta; Magnoliopsida; Fabales; Fabaceae
Description: Pisum sativum (pea) long non-coding RNA (PSAT_LNC010563)
Source: RNAcentral
UCAUAGUUACGCAGAUUUGCUUAAAUUCGGGGAAAUUGGGCGGCCUCAAGAAAAAAACAAAAACCUAACAAGGUUGAUUGAUAACAGACACUGCAAAAUUGAACGCACAUGUGUUUUCCCUCUCCAUCAUUAAUAUCAUAACCUAACUCUCAGAAUCUUUAAUUCUUCCUACCCACUUUCUUACCACACACUGACACAUCAACACCAACACCAGUAAUAAUUUCAACACCAGUAAUAAUUUUAAAAAAAAUGAAUGAAUCGAAUGUAAUCACAACGGAUUUCAGAAACGUCACUGCUACAGUGCUCCUUACACCAUGUUUUGAAGAUCCUUACGAACAAGUAAAACAAAUAAGAUCUUUUGUAAUGUACUUGGCAUGAUCAGCAUGAUCACAAUGAGUUUGAACAAACAACAUAGCUAAAAAAACAAUCUCUCUACAAUAGAAAUACAUCAAAACAUACCAAAUUAAAUAGAAAGGCGAAUCAAAAACAGAAAAUGGAAGAAAAGUAAGAAAAACAGAGUAGUGAAAAUCACCUCGUAUAGCAUAGAUAGUGAAGAUCUGAAGAAGAAAAGUGAUUAGGGUUUAUCUUGUUGCGUGAGUGUAACGAAGAAGAGAAGAAGGAGCUGCCAUGGCAGUAUAGAGAAAAGAAGGUUUUUAGGUUGUUAGAGAAAUAUGAGAAAACCGAGGACGCGUAGUGCGUUGCUUAUAACCUUGGGAAUGUUGUAGUACUUUUAUUUUAAAUAUAUUAUUAUUCUACCUUCAAAAUCAAUUAAUUGAUUUUGAAUAUAAAAUAAUAAUUUUUUUUAUUUUUUUUAUUUUUUAAUUAGAUAUAAUGAUAUGAGUCAAAACAAGAUAAUGAUUAAUAUUAUUUAUUGUAUUUUAUAUUUAAUAUUUUGAACUUUAUAUUUAUGAUAUCGUUGAAUGAAUUAAUAUAUAGUAAAAUAUUAUUGUAAAUGUUAUUCUAUUUUAUUUUUUAAAAAAAUUUGAUAUUCAACUAUUCUGCUAAUAUAUUGUUUUUAAUAGAGUAACACUUUAUGGAUAUUAUUCAUGUAUUUAUUAUUUUAUUAAGAUUAUUUAUAUAGUGAUAAAAUGAGUUUGAAAUUGACUACAUUUAGCCCUUGAGAUUUUUAACAAUAUAGAAAUUGUUAUUUUUUCUUUUAUGGGCUUGUAAUUUUUUUUAUGUUUUCUUAAAUCAGCUUUUUUCUUAUUGACCAAAAUAUUUCAUUUUACUAUAAAAAAAUAUUAUUACUUCUCUGCCUAUAAUAAUGAUCACGUUUACAAUUAAAAUUUAUUUAAAAAGAUUGUCAAAUAUAAUAUUAAUUAUUAUAUUUUUAUUUGUACUCUUAAUCUCAAUUUAUUGCUAUUCGUUUUAUAUUUAUGAGAGUGUAAGAUAAAUAAUGAUAUGAAAUAACAUUUUUUUUAAUUUAUAUAAAUAUACUAAAUGAGAUUAUUAUUAUAGAAUAAAAGGAAUAUCCUAACGAAUAAUAUAUAUUUAAAAGUUUACAUCAUAAUGUAUUAAUAUUGUAAAAAUUUACAAUAAAUUCUGUUAUACUGCACAAUUAAUUUAUAAAUAUGAAUGCGAUCUGGCACCUCACGGUGAUUGAUUAAAAAUGUAAUAUAAUAAUUUAUUUUUAUAUAUCAAAUCGGUGUGAUUUAUUUUUCUAAACAAAUUGACAGAUCAGAAAUUAUAGAAGGUGAACUUUGGUAUAAUUUUUUUUGUAUGAUUUUAUUAGAACAAAUUUCUUAAAAAGAGUCAUCUUUUAAAUAGACGUUGAGUUUUCAUCUUUUAUAUAGUUAUAAUACGCAUGUCGCUGCUCUAAACAUAUAUGCUUAAAAUUCAAAAUAAUAUAUUCCAAAUAUAUAUGCUUAAAAUUCAAAAUAAUGUUUAAAUACAGGUCGAUAGUAAAUUAAUUUUAAGCAACUCAUGUGUUCAAAGGAUGUUACAUAAAUAUUUUUGAAAUUUAAUAAGAAUAAGAAUUUAUUUUCAUUCAAAUUUGAAAAAAUAAUAUCGUUAAGGAUCAUUUUGCAACAAAUAAAACAUUCAAUUAAAAUUGUUAGUUUUAAAUUUUUUUUAUAAUUAUAUUGAUGAAAAAAAUUAAACUAUUAAGAAUAAAUUUAUGAAAAAAAUGUCUUGCCAUAAAGUAGUUUUUUUAAUAAAAAAACUUGUCCAUAAAAUAAUUACGUGUAGUUAACUUUUUUUUAAAUGAUAUUUUUAUUUUUCUUUAAGUUAGUGGAAACUAUAAGAUUUUUUACUAGUUAGUUUGUCAAAUGUAUGUAAAUUCAAGAAAAAUAAUGGGUUUGGACUUUGUGAGCAAAUGGAGGUGGUACUUGAUUUUUGAGUCCAUCCGUUUUUUGAGUGAUAUUUUGAUUGUUAGAUAUGAGAUUCAGGUUGUCACCUCAUUUAGAGGAUAUAAGGUGUCAAGACUUCAAUUUAUUUCUCCUUGGUGAAUAAGAGUCUCCAUUCUAGAUUCUAAAUUUACUGACUCAUCAUAUUGGUCUGCGAAUGAUUUGAGGCGGAAGGUGGUAUCAGGUAUGUUGACAUCUUUUUGGAAUGAUCCUUGGAUGGGACAUAUCCCUCUUAAAGUUUCUUUUGACAGAUUUUUCCUAUUCUCUUAAUGAAAAAGGAGUAAGGGGAGUGAUUUUGGUUUUUGGAAGAUGCGAUCAUGAUCUGGAAUUAUCUUUAGAGGAGACCUCUCUUUGGCUAUGAUCAAGAUUUGGUGGAUGAUCUUAUUCUGACCAUUUAUAGUGUUACUCUCUCGUUGGAGAGCGAUUAUUGAUGUUGGUCGCAGGAAUAGAAUAAUAUGUACAAUAUCGGAUUUGUCUACUAGAAUCUUUUUGAGUCACAUGCUUUUAUUUCUACCUUUCCAUCUUACUUAGGUUGUUCAUUAGCUUUCAUUUUGGAUGGUUUGACUCCCUCUAAAGUAGUAGUCUUUUCUUGACAGUUUCUCCAAGAUGACAUCUCGGCUAGAAAUAAUAUGCGUAUCAGGCGUGUUGUUCUAGAUCCUACUGAUCUUUCUUGUGGGUUAUGUGCUACGAUUUAGAGUCACUCUCACACUUGUUUAUCAUUUGUUCUAUUUCUACAACCAUGUGGUAUAAGAUAUUUUGAUGACCGAGGAGAGUAGUUGUCUUAUCCGGUGGUAUUCUAUCUCAGGUUGAGAUUUUUUUUCCUACUUAGAGGAUUUGGUUAGGAUUAAAGGUGGUCUUGUCAUAAUUUGACAUUUAGUCAUGUAAACUUUAUGGAGAACCACGAAUAAUUUAAUUUUUAAAGGAUUGUCGUUUGACAAGGAGAUCUUGGAAGAUAAGUGUAUCUCGCUGACUUGAAAAUAGUUUCUUGGAUAAGUCGUUGAAGCAUGCUUAUUCUUUCUCUAAUUGGCUAGCAAUCUUAUCAUUUGCAUGCGCUAAUUAUGAUUCAAGUGCGUCUUCUAAUUUUUUAGGGGUGUGGUCCUAAGUUGCAUGUGGAGGUUUCUGCUAUGUCGAUGGUGGUUUGUUUUUCUUGUGCUAUAGCCUCAUUCUUUUGAUAAUAACUCUGAAUUUUUUGAAACGUGAUGAUCUUGUUUUGAUUUUUAUAUCACUUUUUAUUCUUUAAUGAGUUUUUAUGUAGAUAUUGUCAUUGAUUAACUUUUAUCUUGUCAUUCUAUAAAUUUAAUUAUGUGUGUAGUUAACUUUUGAGACGCAUUUAUAUAUAAUGGUAUAUAUUAACUUUCUUGACAACGAUGAUAUCAUUAAUAAUUUAAACAAUGGUGUAUUUACAUUCUUUUUAGUUUUAAAAAAAGUUAGAACCCUUAGAGAUAACUUUUUUUUGACACAUCCUUAGAGAUAACUUUAAAAUUUCAAGAAAAUUAUAGUACACAACUGAUCUAAACAUACAUUAAACUAAUCUCAAAUAACACAUUUUGAAAAGGUUAAAGUUAGACGUAGUUGAAAAGAUUAGGACGAGCUCUUACAUUAAAAACACAAGUUGUUGCCUUGUUGAUCUUAAAAUAUUAAAGUGUUCAAAGGUAUUUAGCAUCAAAACUAUAUAAAUCUUUUGAAAUUUGAAGCAUAUCCACAACCGUCAAAUAAUUCCAAUUCAUUCUAUCAAAUAAAAUUUUAUAAAACAUUUUUGGUGACAGCAAUAUUAUAGUAUUCUUAGAAGCAAAGUUGUACUUAAGGAUAAUAUAGUUAUUAAUUUUAACCGGAAAAAAUCAAUAAAAUUGACUUGUAGUUGUUUUAUUGUUGGAAAAAAAACAAAUAAUGAAACUUCGGACUCUUAUGAUUCAGGAGAAAAAAUGGAUCUUGGAUUGACACGUUGCAUAUGAAGCCUCGUGGUAGCUGAACGUAGGUUAUGUUAGGGUGAGCAAGUCAUCCAUGGUACAAAUCCAAGAAUUACUCUUGGGGUGGAAACUACACUAUCUAUUUUUAAAAAAUUGAAUAUAGUAAUUCUUCGAUGUAUAAGUUCGGUUUCUUAGAAUGUUAGGAAAAUAUUUCACCAUUAUACGGUUCAUAUCUCAGGAAUUUCAUAUUUGAGGAACUGUAAUUUGUUUAUUUUCUUAGGUUAAGGUGGGCAUGAGUCAACUUGACUUGAUUCUAAUGAAGUUUUUUCUAUUUGAACUAUUCUAAAAAGUAGAGUCGGUUUGAAAUGACUAAUGAGUGAGAUUGACUAUAUCGAUUCGAGUCUAAUAUAUUUAAUAUACUUUUACGAAUAAGUGAUUUUAUUUCAAAUUCACUGGGUUGAUAUAAUAGUGAAAAUUUGGAUAUUGAGAGUGUAUUUUUCUCAAGGUCUAAGAUUUGAAUCUGGCUAGAUACAAACAAUUCUUGUGUUGAGGCAUUUUUGUAUUUUUCAAAACUAUGCUACUUUUUACCUCCGUUGAAAAUAAUAUUCAGGGUGAAAUAUCAUGUUUACAUAAUUUUUGUUUUAACAUUUUUUUAUUUCAAUAUGCAAAAAUCACAUUUAUUGACAGAUUUUGAAUCUUCCUCAUCAUCGUCAUCGUCGUCGUCAUCAACAACAACAAAAUAAAUAGAAUCGUUAAAUAUUAAAUCUCAAUAACAACAAUAACAAUAACAACAACAAAAACAAUAGAAUCUUUAAACAUUAAAUCUAAAAAAAAAACUACUACUAUUACUAGAACAAAAACUAAAUAUUCGUUAAAAAUUAAAUCUCAAGAAUAACAACAACAACAUUGAACAUUCUACUUGACACAAUAACAACAACAACAACAUUGAACAUUCUACUUGACACAACAACAACAACAAACAUUGUUAAGUUACAUUCAUACUUUCCUAACUAACAUUAAUUGUUUUUUAAAACAAUAAGUUAAAAGAGAAUAUAUUACAUUAAAGAACUAACCUUGAAAUAUUUUUCUGCUCUUGCAAUCCAUCCCCGAGAAUGGUGUUGUACUUCAUGCAAUUACUUUCAUUAUCAUUACGUUAAUUAUGCAUUUUCAGCAUUUUGCAUCCAAGAUAUAUCAUUGUGACAUUCACGUUCUAAUUGGUUGGUGAGGGUAUCACGUGAAUCACUGAUAUGCCAUUUGGAUUGAUGAAUUGAUAAUGUCUUUCUCGUUGUUACUUUAUAAAUGAAUGACAAAGAUUCGUUACUUAAUUUUUUCAUCAAAUUAGACAAACAUUUUUCCCUCAUUUGCUAGAUCAACCGAGAUAAUAUUUCACUAAAAAAAUGCCCAAAGUUUUAGUUGUUGGAAUUUGAAAGGGGAGUUGAUCAAUACUUUUUCUCUCGGUUGACAUCUCAACUGAGAUAAUUGAUCAUAAAAAAAAUAUAAAUAAAAUUAAAAAGUGCUAAAGUGCAGUUGUUGGGAUUCAGAUGUAUGUCUCCUAAAUACUUUUCCCUUCGCUUAUCAUCUCAACUGAGGUAAUAUGUCAUAAAAGAAAAUAAAAAAUAAAUAAAAUACUCUAAUAAGAUUUUGUGCAAGGCGGGAAAAAGCAACUAUAUAAGGAGAAAAAUGUAAGAGAAGCAAAUACACAUAAUUCACAAGAUUAUUCAACUUUGACUUUAGCGAUCUUAAUUAUAUCAUUGAUGUAUUUUUACAAGUACAUUUGGUGCCCACUAUGAUUCCUGGUCAAAUUGACAUGGGUCACACACCACUUCCAACGACAGUCAAACCCCAUCCCAUGAUAACAAGGGCCACCACCGAUAGCAACGAUGACGGAAAUCAAGCUAACAUAAUGAAGAUUCUAACCGAUAUGGAUAAGUCGUGUCGUCAAAUGAAGCCAUGCAUGAGAGCUUCCAUGAUUUGUAAUAGCAGCAAAAUGCGGAGUCAGAUGUGGUUGAGGAAAGGGAGUCCAUUGAUCCUCAACCACUCGCAGAGAAUUAGGAUGCUUUGAUUUUUGGAUAUUUCAAACCACCAUCCCUAAAUAAAUUGGGAUGCUCUGAUUUUCGGAAAUUUCAAACCACUAUCCCUAGUGUGUUUUAUAGCAAGAGUGAUCCCUAGGAGAAUUUAGUAACCACCAACAUUCGAAUGACUAUCAAUGGAGUAGAUGACUCGCUAAAGUGUGAGCUGAUGGCUAAAACGUUCAAAGAGGCAACCCUCACAUGGUACAUGAGCCUCAUGCAAUUCUUAAUGCCGAGCUACCAAGAUUUGACGAGAAAGAUGAUUCACAAUUUUUUGGCCAUCAAGCAUAUAAAAGUUUCCACUACAAGCAUAUUAAAUGUUCGACGAGGCUAUUCUAAGUCCUUGGGCAAGUAUUUUGCGAGAUUUAUUUUGAAGGCGGUAACACCCCGAAUUUUUAUUCAUAUUUUAUUUUUAUUAAUAAUUCAAUUUUGUAUGUGUUAUGAUUUUAUUAUUAUCAGCAUUAUUAUUUUGUUAUCAUCAAGGAUAAGAAAGUUGAGAACUAAUUAAAAAAAUUAAAAUUAAUUAGAGUUGGUGGAAUAAGAAAGUUGGAAAAGUAAAAAAUUAGUGGGGGAAGUCAAAGAAAUAAAAAUCUGAAUUUUAUUAAGGGGAAUCAAUGAGAAUAAAUGGGCUUAAUUAUCAAAAUUUUAAUUAGAAAAUAAAAAGGGAGAACUAGAGAGAAAAAUGAGAAGUACAUGUUCUUUUGGAAGAAAAAGGAGAAAAAAUCGUAACAUUAAAAAAAAUCUGUUUUUCUUCUCCAAAACUAAAAAAGAAAUUCUAAUUUAUCAAGAGGAUAAUAAUAGAGAUUUUGAAAGCGACGAUUCCACCAUUAUUAGGAGCUUCGCAAAGAAAUUAUGCACUAACAAGGUAAGGAAAAGAGAUUUCUCUAUAACUUUGGUAUUUUAGCAUUUAGGAUUGUGGGGUUUCCCUUGAACCCCGAAUUGUAUGAAUUUUCAUAUGAAUUUCCUUAUGAGAUGAUGAAUCAUAGAUCCUAGGUUAUCAAUCUCUCUCUCUUAUCACCAAUGGUUUAGUUAAAUUAUAGAAUUUUGAUAUGGUCUUUCCAUGAAUCAUAUGUUUUAAUGUUGAUAUUAUGUGUUGAUUGAAUGAUGAUGUAUUGUGAUGAAUUAGUGAUGUUAAUUUGAUGUUUAAGUGAUGUUGUGAUGUGUUAUGUUAUGUAAUUUUGUGUUGGUCAUGUGUUUUUCGGAGUUUUGGAUUGAGUAAAUAUGUUGGGGAAAGGUAUAAAUUGAAGAAAAAGAAAAAAAACAUAAUUAUGGGUUUUAGCUACAGCCUGUAGCACUUGCUACGGUCAACCAUAACUAAUGUCUAUUUUUUUUGUAUGGGCAUGUGGCUUACCUUGCCACGACUCGUAGCAAUAGCUACGACCAACCAUAGUUGUUUGUUGUCUUUAGUAUGUUGUAGAAUUGAAAAUAACAUAACUCAGGUUUUGUAACUCGAAAUCAAACGUGGUCAGAUGUUUUAGAAAGCUAAUGUAUAGACAUAUCAGUUGGAACAAGAUUUGUUCAUGUCCUUAAAAGGUUUUGAUGAUAAAAAAAGUAUUUAAAGAAUAAUAGAGUUUGAUAACAUUUUGUUUAAGUGUGCAGGAUCACAAGCAUAGAACUAAUCCUGAUUGUUAGCAUAUGUGAAAAAGUAAUUUAAAGUUUGAUUCUAAUUAAUCGGAAUCUGAACUAGUUCAUCGCCUCUGAAGGCAUCAGACUCUGGCGUCAUGACCCAACUUCUGAUGACAACUCAAACUAUGAAGGUAUGAAGAGCCGUUGAUUCGUACCCUAAACCAAAUUAGUCUUGUCUUAUCAAAGCCCCAGAUUUAUGGACAAAGUAAACUAGGGUUUUCAUUUUGCAAGGAUCAAGAAAAAGGGAUCGGAUAUCUUUAGACUGCCCUACCUUUUGGUAGAUGCCUAGUACGAUGAAAGAUACUGAGAGCGGUGUUAUUAUUCAGUGGAUAAAGCUUCAUCCCUGAUGCAAGUCUUUAAUGUCUCUCUUGACAUACUUCUUCACCAAGUUUGCACGUUAUGUUCAAAUCCUCCAACGACUCUUUUUCAGUCUCUAUAAAAGGGAGUUGGAGACUCAAAGGAAGGUUACAACAUCACAACGCAUUACAAGAUCUUUAGCAUAACUCUAAGUUGUUAUUUCUGUAACUAUUAUAUCUUAAAUAUCAUAAUAUUUCUUAUCUUUGAUUAUCUCAUAAAUCUUAGAAAGAUUGAAAACCUUUUUGAUUGUUGCACAAAUGUUAUACUUGUGGUUGUGUAUCAAAUUAUAGUAGUUAUCUUGUCUACUAAACUUCCAUUUAAAGUAGAGGAAGUCUCUUUCCUGAGUACUUCAACAAGGAAGUCUCUUUCUAGGUUGAUUGAUUAAGGAAGUCUCUUUCUAGAUUGAUUGAGCAAGGAAGUCUCUUGUCCGAGGACUUUUAACGGAAGUCUCUUUCUAGGGUGAUUGAUCAUUGAAGUCUAUUGCAAGUGUGCUUGAGCAAUUUGUAACUUGUUUGGUUAUAGUGAAAAGCUCUUGUUGAGGAAAGGGGACUGGACUACUCUCAGUUGAGGAGAAGAAUCAAGAUAACCUUUGUGUGUUACUUGCAUUUACUUUUGAACUUUACAUUUUUGGUGUUGUGUUUUAAAUCUGAUAUCAGAGUCUGAACAUUGUUCAGAAUCUGAACGUGUGAUUCAAAAGUAAAACCAAUUUUUAAGUAUACACAACUCAACUCCCCUUAUUGUGUAUUUUCUCACCUUUAGUUGGCAUCAGAGCACAACCUGUACUAAACACUUAACCGUGGUACAUAAAAGAUCUUGACAAAAAUACUAUUUUCUUCAUGCUUGAGAGUUUUGUUGUUUUUAGUUCUGGUGAAGAACCUCCUCGUGGUUAUAACAACCAUGAUCAAAGUACAUCUGGUCAAAACACCUAUAUCUCUAGACCACCAACAUUCAGUGGAGACUCCACUAAAUUUGAAUGGUGGAAAAGCAAGAUCUACUCUCACAUCAUUAGUCUAGAUGAUGAGUAAUGAGAUAUCUUGGAAGAUGGCAUUAACUUUCAUGUUAAUGGUGUUGGAACGGUUUAUGAUAGAAAGUCUCUCACUCCUGAUCAAAAAAGAGUUAUAUAAAGCAUCAUAGAGUGAGAGGCAUUCUUGUUAAUGUUUUACCUCAUUCUUAGUAUGUAAAUAUUAUUGAUAAGUCUACUGUAAGGACUAUCUUUAAAUCCCUGUGUGUGACCUAUGAAGGUAAUCAAUAGGUUUAAGAAGCCAAAUUCAAUCUUAUGGUUCAAUAAUAUGAGUUGUGUGAGCAAAUUCUUUACUUUGAAUAAGUUUUGAAUGAUAGCAAAUUGUGUGAUCAUUGUCCAAUUGUUGGUUGUGCAUUAUUUUACAUGAUUCAUUUGUGUUUUUAGCUCACACUAUUGUUUCAUGUCUAUACAUAAAGAUCCACAUUGAUACAUCUCUUAAAAGAACUCAUAAAAACUAUUUUGUGUUGUUGUUCAAAUCAUGUUACAUAUGCAUCGAUCCAUAAAUUGUUGUAAACCCAAAACGCUUUUGCUUCAUGUAUUCGAUCAUAUGAGUCAUGUAUCGAUACAUGGCCAGUAAAUUGCUCUAUGUAUCGAUCCAUACGAGUCUGAUCAAUACAUGCGUAGUUAAAAUGCUCUAUGUAUCGAUACAUCGAGAUUUGCAUCGAUACAUCUACAUUAUUCUCUAAAUAAAUCAAGUUACAGAUGUAUCGAUGCAUAACUUGUAGUCAUACAUAGUUGUUUGUCUACUAACAGUUUUUUUUCAUAUAUAAGAGUAUUGACAGCAGUGAAAAGAACGAUUCAAAAGAGAAAACAGUUGACACAGAUCAAAGGAGUGAUAAGCACAAUUGUUUUGAGCAGUUAGAAACCUGAAAGAGACUUCAUCUUCUUCAUCUUCUCAAUCUUUUCUUCGAGACAUCAACACUAAUCAUUCUUGUUCUUUGGAUUAAAGGAUAACGAGUAACAUUCCGUGGUACGAUCAGGAUCUAGCUGAGUGUGCGAACGAUCGAGUCUAGCUAAGUGAAAGAUGAAGGGGUUCGGGAAACAACUGGUUUGUCUUCAGAACUGGAGUGUUCUUGCGGUUUGUUAGUCACGUUGCAGAACAGAUUCAGCCCAGCGUAGGUUGAAAAUCGGUGAUUUCACAAAGUAGUCGUGGAACGGUGAAUUGUUUGCAAUUUCUUGCAGGUUCUUGACGAGCUCAGAUCAGUGGAGUUUCAACAAGAAGAAGUUCUUGGAUUUAGAAUUCUGUCUGUGUAUGUGAAUUGUAUCGAUUCGGAUUAUUGAUAAUUACAGUUCUCAAUUUCAUUUGAAAUUGAGAGGGAGACGUACCCACACGCGAGGACGACAGUGGGGAACUUCCUUACCAAAUCUCUGCGUAUCGUAUUCUUUUCUUAUCUCUCUUUACGUUUUCAACAGUUUUGUAAUUUCAGUUAGUGUGUUGUGGCUGUACUUUUUGGGAUACAAUAGUGGCAAGAAAACUUCUUUAACUAAAGUCCACCAUUGUUCAUCAUUGAUCACAUACACACCAAUUGUUUGACAAAACUGUCAGCUGAGUUUUAUUAAUUGGAAUUAGGAUUUAGUGAUAAGUGCAUUCAAUUUGAUAAGAUUCUGGUGUUUAUAAUCUCUGUCGUUCUAAUUCAAAUCCAACAAUAAAUUCGCGUGUCCGGUUUUCUAGUAGCGGUUCAGAAUAGACGGAAGUCGAUUCGGGACUGAAAUUUUCCGCUAAGUUACAACAACUCUGAUAAAAUUUUAAAUCCGUUUAUUUUAAAAGAGGUGAUCUAUUCACCCCCCCUCUCUCGAUCACUAGCCACACCGUCUAACAAGUGAUAUCAGAGCGUCGGUUCGCUGGUGCUCUGUGGCUGCCUGUAACGAUAUGGAUUCUGAACCAAAGGGGGCGUAUAAUAGAGCGCCUAUUUUCAACGGUGAAAAUUACGGCUACUGGAAAGACUGCAUGAUGCGAGUUAUAUAUUCGUUGAUAGCUAGUUUAUGGGCUGCCAUUGAAAAUGGUCUUUGUCAAUACUAUGAAAUGCGCUGGGCAUAGUUCUAACGCAGAAGCUGAUGAAUGAAAAGAUGGAGAAAGUGGUCGUGUGGAUUGGAGAAGCUCGAUAUCUAUUUUCAGCACGUGGGUUAUUGAGUAUUAUCGGGUAUCCAUUGCCGAACAGUAAAGAAUUGGGUGCUUUAGAAGUUGCCCAUAUGAGGGUAACUGAAGUAUGUCUCGCAUUACUCCUACAAUCAAGGAGUUUGAGCUCUUUCGAUUGAAACAAGGAGAAAUUAUCUCCGACAUCAAAAGAGAUUUACUAUCUAGGCUAUAGGUUGAAUCACUUGGAAACAGCUGUUUAAAUGAAAUAGCUACUAAUCAAUUUAAGAUGUUUAGAGGGAAUGGAACCUAAGUAACACUAUUAGAAGUCCAAGUCUAACGACAUGAUUACCUGUUUUGGAGCGGAAAGCAUAAGCGCCGCAAGCCCAAUAGAAGUCUUGAAAAGUUUGAGAAGCAAGUACGAGAAAGAGAGAAGAGGGAGAGGAAGAAGCAAUAGUAUUGUGGGCCUCUGCUCUAAGUUCAGAAAAGGCAAAGUGCAAUGAUACUAGUAGUGACAAAGAUUGAUGUGAGGCCGGAACUGUUUGUAAGAAGAUUAAUUAUUCAUUGACAAGUGGAGUCAACAUUGAAAACCUACUGAGUUCAAGAACUUACGAUUAAAACGGAGAGAUAAGAAGAGUAGAGAGAGAUCUUGUUUUAAUUGUGGUAAUCUGGACAUUAUAAAAUCGACUGCCUAAUGAAGUAUAGGAUAAAGCUUACAAAGGUAGACAAACAAGAAGGCUUACAAUUGAUGGGAAAGUGAUAGUGAUUCAUCAAGCCACAAGCUCAAGUGUAGUGAUGAAAUGAAAUCUGUGCCUUAUGGCUCAACAAAUUUUGUCCUUACAGAGAUAAAUAAUACAAAAGAAAACCCUUUAUUAAAUAAUUUUUUCUAUGUCUUUUUCUGAACUGAAAUAGUUUUGAAAAUCUGUAACGAAGCUGUAGGCUUUAAAGAUUUUUCCUAAACAUUUUUUCUUCUGGAAGGUAAGUAUACAAAGCGAAAAAGAUAUAGAAUGGUAAAGCUAGUAUUUAGCAGAAUUCAAAAGCUAUUGAAUUGAUGGAUGUGUAAAGUUGGUAUGUGAAGCUUGUCAUAUUUGAACAAGAGGUAACAUCUAUAGUCAAUUGGAAAAGUCUUCAAAAGGUACUAUGCCGUUGACUCUAGUUGUUUAAGAAGUCAUUAAUCCACCAUAUGCAAAAUACUCUUAUUCAUAAGGAUUUAUGAAGCAAGAAUAACAAGACACAUAUGAUGGUUUAUGUCAUUACUUUGUAUGCUGCCAUACAUUGAGAAUGCAAGUUUAGGAGUUUCUUGUUCCUUAAGGUAUUUAUCAGAAGCAAAGGCGACCAUAGUUAUCACUUACCCACUUAGGACCAAUGAAAUUGGGUAGCAACUUCUCUCUUUGAUAUGUAGGAUGAGGUCUUGAUUCCGUNGAUGUCUUAGCAGGGAAUGGCAACCUAAAGUAACAACUAUUAAGGAAGCCAACGAUCUAACGACACUUACGAUUACAACUCUGUUUGGAAAGCUGGAAGAACAUCAGCAAGCAUUAGAAAGUCUUGAAAAGUUUGAGAACAAAAGUAAGAAGAAAAGAGACAAAGAGGGAGAGAAGAAGCCAAUAGCUCUUGUGGCCUCUAGCUCUAAGUCCUCACGAAAAGAGCAAAGUGACAAUGAUACUAGUAGUGACAAAGAUUCGGAUGAUGAGGAAACGGAACUGUUUGUAAGAAGAUAUAAUAUAUUCAUUCGAAAGAAUGGAGUCAAACAUUCCGACAAAAACCUCAUGAAGUUUCAAAGACAAUCUACAGAUUCAAAACAGGAAGAGAAUAAGAAGAGUAGAGGAAGAGGAUCUUGUUUUAAUUGUGGUAAAUCUGGACAUUAUAAAACAGACUGCCCUAUGAAGUAUAAGGAUCAAAGAAAAGCUUCACCAAAAGGGUACAGCAAACAAAGAAGAGCUUACAUUGCAUGGGAAAGUGAUAGUGAUUCAUCAAGCACACAAAGCUCAAGUGAUAGUGAUGAAACCGCAAAUCUGUGCCUUAUGGCUCACACCAAAAAUCUGUCCUACCACAAGAAGAAAAUCAAUGACAAAAAGGUAAAACAAGCCUAUUAUAAUAAUUUCUCUUCUAUGUCUUUUUCUGAACUGAAAAUAGCUUUUGAAAAACUGCAUAACGAAGCUGUAGAUGCUUUUAAAAGACUAUCUUCCGAUAAACAAAUUUUUUCAUUUCUGGAAGGUAAAGUAUACAAAGCUGAAAAUGAUUUAGAAUCGUUAAAAGCUAGUAUUGCAGAAAAUUCAAAAGAUAUUGACAUUGAUGGAUGUAGUAAAGUUAGGUAUUGUGACGCUUGUCAUAUUUGGCAAAAAGAGGUAAACACUCUCAAGGUCAAAUUGGAAAAAGCUUUACAACCUAAGGUUACUUAUGCCGUUGACUCUAGGUUGUUUAAGAAGUCAUUAAAUCCACCAUAUGCAAAAUACUCUUUCAUUCCAAAGGAUUUAAUGAACAAGAAUAAACAAACACAUCAUCAUGGUUUAUGUCAUUAUUGUUGUCGUGCUGGCCAUACCAUUGAGAAAUGCAAGUUUAGGAGAUUUCUUGUUCCUAAAGGUAUUUAUCAAUGGAAGCCAAAAGGCAACCAUGUUAGCACUUACCCACUUGGACCCAAUGAAAAUUGGGUACCAACUUCUCUCUUUUGAUAUUGUAGGAUGAGUGCCUUGCUUCCGUAGAUAGGAGAUGGUUUCUUGACAGCGGUUGCUCAAGGCACAUGACCGGUGACAUAUCGCUUUUUAUAGACUUCAAAGCAAAGAAGAAGGGAUAUGUUACUUAUGGAGACAAUAACAAAGGAGCUAUACUUGGCAAAGGUAGUGUAGGUAAUCCCUCUACCACUACUAUUUCUGAUGUCCAUUUAGUAGAGGGGCUUAAACACAAUUUGUUAAGCAUAAGUCAAUUGUGUGACAAGGGUUAUAAAGUUUCUUUCACAAAAACUUGCUGCAUAAUUGAACAUGCUGAACAGAACGUUGUGUUUAAGGGUGUAAGAGUAAACAAUAUCUAUAUGCUUGACCUUUUUGAUGUAUCUUUAACAAGUACUAAAUGUCUAGUCACCUUGAAUGAUGAUUCUUGGCUUUGGCAUAGACGUUUAGCGCAUGUUAAUUUCGAUUUGCUUAAUAAGGUUGUAUCUAAGGAUCUAGUAGUCGGUCUACCAAAAAUAAAAUUUUCAAAAGACCACCUAUGUGACGCGUGCCAAAUGGGAAAGCAAACAAGGGUGUCUUUUAAAUCUAAAAAUGUAAUUUCAACUUCACGACCCCUUGAGCUUCUCCAUAUGGACCUCUUUGGACCUUCUAGGACAAAGAGCCUAGGUGGAAAUUACUAUGGCUUUGUAAUAGUUGAUGACUACUCUAGAUUCACUUGGACUAUAUUCCUUCAUAGCAAAGAUGAAACUUUUUCUGCUUUUAAAAAUUUUGCAAAUCUGUCCCAAAACAAAAUGAAUUCCAAAAUAGUUACAAUUCGUAGCGAUCAUGGUGGUGAGUUUCAAAAUUAUCACUUUGAGAAGUUUUGUGACAAGUAUGGCAUUGAGCAUAACUUUUCAGCCCCUCGCACUCCACAACAAAAUGGCGUUGUGGAGCGUAAAAAUCGUGUUUUAGAGGAGUUGGCAAGAACAAUGCUUAAUGAGGGUGGAUUACCAAAAUACUUUUGGGCUGAUGCUGUCAGCACAGCCUGUUAUGUUCUAAACAGAAUCUCAAUUCGCCCUAUUUUAAACAAAACUCCUUAUGAACUUUUGAAAGGAAGAAAACCAAACUUGUCACAUCUUCACGUAUUCGGUUGUAAAUGUUUUGUUUUGAAUAACGGUAAGGAAAACAUUGGGAAGUUUGAUGCAAAAGCGGAUGAAGGUAUCUUUCUUGGUUACUCACUGUCAAGUAAAGCAUAUAGAGUGUAUAAUAAGCGUUUACUUACUGUUGAAGAAUCUGUUCAUGUUUCUUUUGAUGAGUCUUAUCCGAAAAAUGUCGGAAAAGGUAUUUCUUUUGAUGACGCAGGUGUAUCUACAGAAGACAUACUCAAGGAAGCUGUUGAGGAAACUGAUCAGUCCAAAACAGCUGCCCAUGAGAAGGAGGAAGAUACUAGUCAUGAAGAAAUUGAGGAAGAAAAGACAGCUGAAGUGAAUGAUCUUCCAACAGCUUGGAAAUCCUCAAAAGACCAUCCCAUUGACAACAUCUUGGGAGACAUUUCAAAGGGAGUAAUGACCCGUUCUAAGAUAAGUAAUUUUUGUUCUCACUUCGCGUUUGUUUCACAAGUAGAACCUAAAAAUGCCAAAGAGGCCUUGAUUGAUGAAUUUUGGCUAAUGGCCAUGCAAGAAGAGCUUAAUCAAUUUAAAAGAAAUGACGUUUGGGAACUUGUCCCUCGUCCGCGAGAUCAUCAUAUCAUAGGCACUAAGUGGGUUUUUAGGAACAAGCUUGAUGAAAACGGAGUGAUUACUAGGAACAAGGCACGUUUAGUAGCACAAGGGUAUAACCAAGAGGAGGGCAUAGACUAUGAGGAAACUUAUGCUCCAGUUGCUCGCCUUGAAGCUAUACGUCUUUUGCUUGCCUAUGCGUGUUCUAAGGAUUUUAAGCUUUACCAAAUGGACGUAAAGAGUGCUUUUCUUAAUGGUGUCAUAAAUGAAGAAGUAUAUGUUUCACAACCUCCUGGUUUUGAAAAUGCUGAAAAUCCAGAUCAUGUUUACAAAUUAAAACGAGCUUUGUAUGGUCUUAAACAAGCCCCUCGGGUUUGGUAUGAAAGGCUUAGCAAAUUCCUAAUUGAUCAUGGAUAUUCAAGAGGUAAAGUGGACAAUACUCUCUUUAUUAAACACAAAGGGAAGCACAUUCUUUUAGUUCAAGUUUAUGUCGACGAUAUCAUAUUUGGUUCAACUAACAUACACUUGGUCGAAGAAUUUUCUAAGGUUAUGCAGGGUGAAUUUGAGAUGAGUCUAAUGGGGGAGCUGAACUACUUCCUAGGACUGCAAAUAAAGCAACUUGAUGAGGGUACAGCAGUAUGUCAAACAAAAUACUGCAGAGAACUACUCAAGCGCUUUGGAAUGAAUGACUCAAAAUCAAUUGACACCCCAAUGCCUACCAACGGAAAUCUAGAUAAGGAUGAGCAUGGUAAGUGUGUAGAUGUCAAAAGGUUCAGAGGUAUGAUUGGAUCUCUCUUGUAUCUUUCUGCUUCUAGACCUGACAUCAUGUUUAGUGUUUGUAUGUGUGCACGCUAUCAAUCAAAUCCUAAGGAAUCGCACCUAAAAGCGGUGAAGCGCAUAUUUAGAUAUCUUCACGGAACACCUAAAUAUGGGCUUUGGUAUUCCAAAGGAAGUGAUUGUAGCUUAGUAGGGUACUCCGAUUCUGAUUUUGCUGGCUGCAAAUCAGAUAGGAAAAGCACAAGUGGUACAUGUCACCUGUUUUCAAACUCCUUGGUCAGUUGGCAUAGCAAAAAGCAAGUUUCUGUGGCUUUGUCAACUGCAGAGGCAGAAUACGUUGCAGCCGGUAGUUGUUGCGCUCAGAUUUUAUGGCUGAAACAGCAACUACAAGACUUCAACAUUCAACUCAAACGUAUUCCUAUCAAAUGUGACAACACUAGUGCCAUAAACCUUACUAAAAACCCUGUUUUACACUCACGCACUAAACACAUAGAGAUUAGACAUCAUUUCCUUCGUGAUCAUGUUGAAAAAGAAGACGUUGUCUUUGAGCACGUUGAUUCCAAAAAUCAGCUUGCUGAUAUUUUCACUAAACCGUUGGCAACGGAACCUUUCUUCAACAUUCGUCGCGAAUUGGGAAUCUUAGAUCUUUCUCAAUUGAUGUCAUAAGCAUGUUACCUCUUAAUUAUAUUAUGCCUCACCAUGGUUGAUAAGAGCUGUUUUAGAUGUCAAUUAUCCAUCACAAGAGUUCUCCAACAGAGGUAAUAUCAAUCCUUUCUACAAUUUUCUUAUUGCUAAGUGAUUGUGUAUGUUAGAACAAAUGUUCUUACUCUAGUUGAUAUAAAAUUUGAUUGCAUAUACUCCUUGUCCAUAUUGUGUGCACAUUAACAAUCUGACUUCUGAAUCUCUCUUGAGCAUAAUCAUCAUGACAUAGUGCAUAAUGCAUAUUCAUACUGCAUUAAAAUUCAUUAAAAGCUAGUUCAGCAUCAGUAUGCAUCGACACAAACGAAGCAAGCAUCGAUCCAUACAUUCUGAAAUUCAAAUUUUUUAAAAACUGCUUCAGGAUGCAUCGAUGCAUCCAUCGCAUGUAUCGAUACACAUGCCCAUUGUGAAUAUUUGGCAUCGACGCAUGACCAUCUGCAUCGAUACAUACUGAUGCUAUCUGAAUUAAAUGCAUUUCUUUCUCUCUCAUGCAUCGACACAUCAGCCAAUCAUAUCACUUCCUAUCUCAUUACUUCAUAUCAUCUGCCCUCAAAAACCCCAAAACCAGUGGCUAACCCUAAUCCUCCUCAUCUUCACUCUCUCUCUAAAACCCUAAAUCUCACAUCACCAUGCCUCCACGCACUAUUCCAGUCAGAGCCAAAGGAAAAGGAAAGGGAAAGGAAACAGCCGGUACAUCUCAGCAACCACCAGACGUUCCUUCAAAUGCCUUAGAGCUACUUCAUCCUGCUGUUGCUGCUGAAUUUGAGGAAUCCUUCAAGACAAGGUUAGUCAUGAAACCUCACGUCUUUGAUAAAACAGAUGCUAUUCACCUACACCUAAAUGAAGUGGUUGAACUCUUACAUGCACAAAGACUUGGGUCGUUUCUGUCCACAAAGGAUGAUUAUCAUGAGGAUUUCAUUCGGGUCUUUUAUGCUGGCUUACAAACUGGUAGAGGCUAUAUGUUCCGGUGUUCUAUCGGAGUCAGAACAUAUACCUUUGAAGCCUCUGAUUGGGAAACGGUAUUUCAAAUGCCGCCUCCGUCGAUGGCUUUCAAGUCCUGGCAUGACCUGCAUUUUGAUCCUGAAUUUGACAUGAAGGACUUUACUCCAUCUAUCCUAAAGAUAGACAGACCGUUGAGUGAUGAUGAACACGUCACGUCUGGUAUGAUCAAGCAAACUCCGCGUAUUCUUCACUGGAUUAUUACACAUAUUCUGCGUCCAACAAACAGUGGACAUUCGCGGUUGGACAGGCCCUGCAUACAUCUUCUCUACAUUUUGCAAAAUAAGGUGCUCUUAAAUUGGGCUAAUUACUUUGUAAAACGUCUAUUUUUCGUGCGAGACAGCUCCAAGAAUGUGGCUCUAGGUUAUGCCUCUCAAAUAAUGAAAAUUCUUAAGUUUUGGAAAGUUGCAAUACCUAUUGUUCCUCUCCUAUCUCCAUCUGCUGCUCAAGAGUUUGACUCUGCCACUCUAUCGCAUAUGGGAUAUCGGUGGGACAAGGACCGCAAAUGUUUCUAUUUCUUCGAAAGAAAAUCCAAAACCAGAAUUUACAACUUUGACGUGCCCUCGGAACGCAUCCAUGUUGCUGAAGAUCAGCCUGAUGAAGAAAUGCAGGAUGCGGCUGAAACAGAUGCACCACAAGCUGAGGCCAAUGCUGGUUGGGGUGAUUGGGUGCCACGAAGGUGGUCUCCUACCAACUAUGUACCUGAACCUACAGCCCCUCCAUUCUCCGGUGGUACUUCAGCCUCAACACCAAAUGCGGACAUCACUCAUAUGCUUCAACAGAUGGAAAUUGUCAACAAAGAACGCCAUGAAGAAGCACGGUACUGGCAUGUUCAACAAUCUGAAUGGCACAACGAGCAUCGGGACUGGCAUGAUGAGCAUACACGGAUGUAUCAGAAUCAACACGCUUGGCACCAAGACUUGGUUAAAUGGCAUCAGGUUUUCUACAACGAAAUGUCUGGCUUUAUGGACGACUGCCGUGAAAAUCCUGGUAUUAUGGACAGCUUUAGAAGCAUUGAAGUUCAGAACCGAUUUAGGCAAUACUCCUUCAUGGGCCAAAAUCCAGACACAAUGCCUCCUCCUCCGCCUCCGCCAAGCUACAGAGAUCCUGCCAGAGAUGAUGAGGAGUCCUGUGGUGGCCACAAUCCCAAUUAACCCACCAUCAUUUCAUCUCACUGCAUUUCAUCUCAUAUUGCUCAAGUUUUAUUUUGUUGCACAAUAUAUGGUUUAGCUUAUGUAAUUCUUAAACUCGUUCGAAUCCUUAAAUGCUUUUCACUUUCUGUUUAUCUCUAUUGUUAUUGCCCUUAUUCGUCAUUCUUUGUGAAUGAUUCUUUACUUUGAAGCUUCCUUCUUUGUGAUUGAUAGCUUUUUAUCAAUUUUUUUGCCAUGUCCUGCUACAACAUGUUACCUUGAUAAACCUGUUUCUUCCUCUUUUUGAUGUUGACAAAGGGGGAGAAAUGCAGAUAUGCACAAACUCAGGGGGAGUAUCACACAUCUUGCCAAAAAUUUGCCAUCAUCAAAAAGGGGGAGUUUGUGAGAAAAUUCUUUACUUUGAAUAAAUUUUGAAUGAUAGCAAAUUGUGUGAUCAUCAUCCAAAUGAUGGUUGUGCAUUACCAUACAUGACACAUGAGUGUUUUUAGUGUGUUUUAUCCCAUUCUAUUGUUGCAUGUCUGUACAUAAAGAUCUACAUUGAUACAUCUCUUAAAAUAACUCAUAAAAUCCAUUUUGUGUCAGUAUGCAUCAACACAUAAGCCUAUGCAUCGAUCCAUACAGCAUGUUGUAAAUCACAAAACUUUUUUGUUCAGUAUGCAUCGAUGCAUACGAGUCAUGUAUCGACACAUGAACAGGCAAAAUGCUCUAUGGAUCGAUCCAUACGAGCCUUGCAUCGAUCCAUGAUCAGUUGAAACACCCUAUGUAUCAAUGCAUGCGUAUUAUGCAUCGAUCCAUGUUAGUGGAAAUGUCAUAUGCAUCAAUACAUACGAAUUAUGCAUCGAUCCAUGCUUAAUUCAAUUCACCAAAAACUCACUUAUCUUACAGUAUGCAUCGAUGCAUACUCUCAUGUAUCAAUGCAUAAGUCUGUUUUGUGCUCUAACAGUUUCUGUUUUUCAGCAUAUAUAAGAGAUGUUGUGACAGCAGUGACAGGCAACGAAUUCUAAGAGGGAAAAACAAUUGAACACAAGAUCAAAGCAGUGUGUAGCAGCAAUUGUUGUUGAGCAGAUAGAAACCUGAAAGAGACUUCAUCUUCUUCAUCUUCUCAAUCACUUUUCUUCAAGAACAUCAACACAUAAUCAUUCUUGUUCUUUGGAUUAAAGGAUCAACGAGAUAACGUUCAGUGGAACGAUCAAGGAUCUAGCUGAGGUGUUCAGUGGAACGAUCGAGGAUCUAGCUGAGUUGAAGAUUGAAGGGGGUUUCGAGGAAAAACCAACUGGUUUGUCCUUCAAGAACUGGAGUGUUCUUGCGGGUUUGUUAGUCACGUUUGCAGAACAGAUUCAGCCGCAGCGUAGGGUUUGGAAAUCGGGUGAUUUCGCAAACAGGUCGUGGAACCGGUGAAUUGUUUGCAAUUUCUUGCAGGAAAUUCUUGAUCGAGCUCAGAUCAAGUGGAGGUUUCAUACAAGAAGAAGUUCUUGGGAUUUAGAAUUCUGUCUGUGUAUUGUAACCUUGUAUCAACGAAUUCGGCAUUAUUGAUAAUUACAGUUCUCAAUUUCAUUUGAAAUUGAGAGGGAGACGUACCCACACGCGAGGACGACAGUGGGGAACUUCCUUACCAAAUCUCUGCGUAUCGUAUUCUUUCCUUAUCUCUCUUUACGUUUUCAACAGUUUUGUAAUUUCAGUUAGUGUGUUGUGGCUGUACUUUUUGCGAUACAAUAGUGGCAAGAAAACUUCUUUAACUAAAGUCCACCAUUGUUCAUCAUUGAUCACAUACACACCAAUUGUUUGACAAAACUGUCAGCUGAGUUUUAUUCAUUGGAAUUAGGAUUUAGUGAUAAGUGCAUUCAAUUUGAUAAGAUUCUGGUGUUUAUAAUCUCUGUCGUUCUAAUUCAAAUCCAGCAAUAAAUUCGCGUGUCCGGUUUUCUAGUAGCGGUUCAGAAUAGACGGAAGUCGAUUCGGGACUGAAAUUUUUCGCUAAGUUACAACAACUCUGAUAAAAUUUUAAAUCCGUUUAUUUUAAAAGAGGUGAUCUAUUCACCCCCCCCCCUCUCGAUCACUAGCCACACCGUCUAACAAGUUGUUUAGGAUGAAGAAUGAUGAGAAUAUUGAAUUUAUGUUCUCCAGAUUUCAAGUUCUUGUGUUUGGGAGUUAGGUCCUAAACAAGAGCUAUACGAGUGUGGAUCAUAUCAAGAAGAUUCUUAGGAGUCUUCGUGUCAAAUUGAGACCCAAAGUAACCGCUAUUCAAGAAGCUAAAUACCUAAGUUCUUUAAGUCUUAAAUGUCUUAUUAGCAAUCUCCAAAAUCAUGAAUUAGAGCUGAAUGGAGAUGAGCCUAAAAAGCAGAUUGAAAUUGUGGCUUUAAAACCUGUGAGGGGAUAUGAGAAGUCCUCUCAAAAGCUCAAAGAAGGCACUCAUGAUGAAGCUUAUGAUGAAGAAUCUGAUGAUGAUGAACUAGCAUUUAUCAUCAAAAUAUUUAAAUAUUUGGCUAGAACGAAGAACAAAUUCUCUAGUAAGAGAUAUAACUUCAAAGGGUCAAGUUCUUGAAGUAAAGAUCAUGAUGGUUGUUAAAACUGUAAGAAGAAUGGUCAUUUCAUUUCUGAAUAUCCUGAUCUUCAAAAAGACAAAAGUAAGAAUGUGAGCUUCCAGAAGAACAACUUCAGAAGCAAGUUCAAGAAAAGUCUUAUGGCAACAUGGGAAUAACUUGUUAAUGAAGGAGAAAUGAGGAAGCCAGACUUGCUUUGAUGGCCUCAACCUUCUCAAACUCAGAAUCUGAAGUUGAUUCUGACUCUAAGUCAGAAGACACAGAACAUGUAUUUUCUCAUCUCUCAAAAUCUGAUUUAAGUACUUUGUGUCAUGAUCUUAUGGAAAGAUGCCAACAGAAAGCCAGACAUAUAAAAACAUUGAAGAAGAAAUGUGAUCUUUUAAAAUAUGAACUAAAUCUUUCUAAAGAAAAAAUUGAAAAAGAACAACUUGCUUCAAUAAAAAAUAUGUCUGACAAAUCUCUGGAUAAAAAUGAGUUAGCUCUUUGAGAUUUCAUUAUAUCUGGUUAUGAUAGAACCAAACUUUCCUCCAUAAUUUAUAGAGUAAGUAAGAGUAAAUGGGAAGGACUUGGUUAUCAUCAUAAAUCUUACAAUCCAAGGUUUGAUAUCUUAGUUAAACCAUCAGACCAUUCUUCUUCAAGCACUACUCAAAAGGGGUUGAAUGCUUACUUUUUGCAUGCUGCUCAAAAAUUUAAAAUUCUGGACCAAUCAGAACCUGUGAUAAAUAGCUCACAAAUUUUGAAGGAUUCCGAAUCUAAAGUUAUUAUAUCUGAAGUUCCUAAAGGUUCGGAAGUCAAGGUUAAGACUUGUCUUAGACAAACUGUCUGGAAGAAGUCAAAACCUUACUAUAAAGCUAAGGCACAAAGCGAGAAGAAGCUCUAUAAAUCUAACCUCAGAGGACCCAUAAAAGUAUGAGUACCAAAGAAUGAGAUUAUUUUUGCUGAAGAUAAGCUCAAAGGAAAGAACAAAGCAAAAACUGCUCCAGGAUAGUGGCUCGCGACCUUCAACAAGAAGAAAGCUUACAUCCUAAGUCCUAACUCUGAAGGAGGAAAGAGAUGUGGAAUCUGGAAGAAACCAGUAAGACAAGUUUACUGGUAUUGGGAAGAUUAAAGUCUUCUACUGUGAACUGGUGCUUCAGAUUCUUGGUUAUGACUCUGAAGUUCAUCCAAUUGUUCUGAGAAGUCUGAAGAGAUUUCUGAUGAUUUACGGAAGAGCAUUGUUGGAAAUAUAUUAUUCCUCUUGAAUCAGAUGAUGUUUAGAAACUACUUUGAUCAGAGGCUCCUUAACAAUUUCUGAUGAACAAAUAGCCUCUGAAGCAUCACAACAUCUGAUAUUAUGAAUUUGAACAAUAUUUUGAAAUGGUUUCUCCAUAGUAACUACCUGUGACACCUAUCCUGCUAUGUGUCAUUAAUGUGGAAUGACUCUUGACACAUGGAGUGAAUCUGUUGGUUAAAUAUCCCUCCCUUCUUUUUUUCAUGUUGUAAUUAUCUUAUUUUGUGUGUCUCUCACUGCAUUUAUGCACGUUUGUGUUUAAAACUUAUUUUUCACUCAAAAACACUGUUUAUACCAGAAUCACACAUCUCACUACUUCAUUACCUACACUUUUGCGUUUUCUAACCUUCUCUGGAAAACCCCUUUUUCAAAAGACACCCUAAAACUCUAUUAUUCAAUGGAUUCGUCUUCAAAAGCUCAAAAUGCACACAUGAUCAUCAACUCUGGCAAAAAUAUGAAAAUUAAGCCCAAGACCAUGAAUUUGAAUUAGGAUGAUCUAAAGCUUAUGGUGGAACAAAUUGUCGACUUUGACUCUUUCAGUCCAAAUGGGUAUAAUCUUUAGAGAUUUUUCAGAGUUCAAAAGUGGUCUUCAUUCUUUGAUAUUUUUAAUGGAACAACCUAUCCUUAUCCUGUGAAAGAUUUUUGGGUAAGGGCAGAAGUUUUUGAUGAAUCUGCUGCACAUGAAGAAUUAAGACUUCUGGUUAAUAAGAACAACUUUUUGAAAGGGAAGACAAGCAAAGAAGUAGGAUUGAAGGAGUUUAAAGAGGUUUAAAUUAGAUCAAUUGUAAUGGGUAUUGAUGUGGUCAUCACUCAGAAAAUGAAUGCUAAACUUUUAAGUACCACAAACUCUGGUAGAUUUAUUAUGGGAACCAAAGACAAUAGUCCUGAAGCCGAUGCAAUCAAACAAUAUUUGUUUGAAGAGUGUAAUGAUUUUUAUUCCUCUGGCUUUGGAAAGGCCAGGAACAUGAAGGAUGAUUCCAGGCUUCUGUUCAAAAAUCUAAUUACAUACCUGAUUCCAAAGGAAGGAAAUACUUAUCAGAUUUCUUGGGAUCACAAACAUUUCAUUUUUACCUGAAGAAUGAGGACAAGAUAAAUCUACUAGCUUACAUUUUCAAUCAUAUAUGUGAAGCUAUAAAGGAUAGCACAAAUAUUCAUAAGAAUAAUGUUCCUUAUGCUAUAUUUUUGUUAGAAUUGUUCUUUCAGGGUCGUCUAAUUGAUGCCCUUAAAAGCUUUCCUGAUAAUGAAGAUCUAGAGGAAAUUUAUGGAAGUAUCCUAUCAGCUUCUGUUUUGGCUAACAUGAAGAUGAAGAAGAAAUAUGAGAUUGUUGCUUCAAAGAUUCCUCUUUCUCUUGAUGUACUAAUUAUGAUUAUCUCAAGGAUUAUCUUAUCAUCUCUAAGAUGGAUAACCCUGAAGUAAUCAGAAAUUUCAUCAUACAGUCCUUCAAAGAAAGGAAUAACAUCAAACUCAAGGAUAUUCCUAACAAACCUACUGAUGGUUAUUCUUCUAAGAAGAUGAAGCAAGAAGUUUCAGUUGUUCUGAAUGAUGUUCGUAAAUCUUCUAAGAAAAUAACAGUUGAGAAGGAAGUUGAAAAAGUGGUUGCUAGAAUUGUAAUAAUGCUUUCCAAGACUAUGAGUGAUAAGUAUCUCAAGAAGGCUGCUUCUGUGUCUGUUAUUUCAGAAGCACCUUUAAGGAAGAAAAGGCUAAGGAAGUUGUCUGAAAUUGAAGAAAAAGAAGAAGAGGAAGAAAAUUUGUCCUUAAUUAGGAAGAAGAAAAAUGCAGACGGCUCUGUUCAGAAGAAAUCAAUUAAGCAUUCUCUCAAGAUUCCUCAACUAUUAGCAUAUGCCAUCUUGGAUCAUUUAGAAAAGCAUCAAGAUACAUCUGUGUCUAAGGAUCAAGAAACUAUUGUUGGUAUUUUGAAACAUGUUAAGGUUCAGGUUGUUGAAGUUAUGGUUGGUUUAAAGGUUGUGGAAGCCUCUAUUGUUUCUGAAGAAGUUGUCCUAGAAAUUAUUGCUUCAGAUUCUCUAAAUUCUGGUCAAACAGGUAUAAAUAUGAAUUUAUUCUCUGAAUUCUGGUAAAACAGGUAUAAAUAUGAAUUUAGUCUCUGAGGAUGAUUUUUAUUGCACCUCCCUUAACCAAAUUUCUCUAACCCUAACACCAGUUCCCUCACCUAAAAAUACAUUUCUCUCUACUAAUGAACUCACUGGUGUUCAAAAUCAGCUAGUUGAAUUCUUUGCUUCUAAACAACCAUCUCCCUUACACACAAUGCUCGAACUGCCCAUAGAUGUUUCUAAUGGGAAAGCUACAUCAUCUAGAUCUAAGUCAGAGUAUGAUGUAAUUGGAUUUUAUGCUCAUCUUGACCUAAAAUCCUCAAAAGCUUCACCUGAUAUCAACCCUAUUAUUACUAUUCCCAUCCAAGUGGUCUCACUUUCAGUACAAUCCUCUCACCAAACAUGUUCUACAUCUGAAGCAUAAUGUUAGUUCUAAGUGUUGGCAACAAUUUUGGUAAAGCAAAGAGUGUUCACAAGAUGUUAUGUGUGAUGUCUUAACAUAAGAUAUCCUGUGUACCUGCUGGAGUUCAAGAACAUGAUCAUGCAGGAUUGUUUCAGAAUUUCAUACACAAUGUCAUGGCUUCUGAUAAUGUGUUCCUGCUGGAGUUGAAAUAGAAAACAUAAUUAUGCAGGAUUGUAUCAGGAUGUCAUACACGAUGUCAUGACAUCUGAUGUUUUGUACCUGCUGGAAAUUAUAAAAGGAAUUAUGGAAUUAUGCAGGAUUGUUCCAGGAUGUCAGACCCGAUGUCAUGACAUCCUGUACACAGAACAUUCAGUAUGAAUGUCUGGUGUUAUUGUGAUUGCACAAUUAAUGGCAAUCUAUGUAUGAUUGAAGAUCUGAUUUGCAGGCGCAUUCAAUCAUAGAUUACAACCUGAUUUACUUAUUCUCCAGAGGAAAUCUAACCGGCUGUUAUGAAAGAUUUAAUUGGAAAAUAGAUUUAGGGUUUUCAAGAUGUCCAAGCCCAGCUGAAUGCUUCUCUAAAUAGGACAUGGAAAACCUGAUUUGGAAUACAACAAUACUGAGCGAAAUAUAGAGAGAGAGCUAGGGUUUGUGUCUUGUUUAGUCGUGAGACUUGUAAGCCAUUCAAGUCAUCAUUGAUGAUUGAAUUGGUCUGAUUUGUGGUUGUAAUUUGUCACUCUAAGCUGUUAAACAAGAGUGUGUGUCUACUUGAUCAAGCUGUGAAGCUUAGAUCAAGUGUCCGUUUUCUACUUGAUCAAAUCUGUUAUAGCAAGGAUCAAGUGUGUAUGUCUACUUGAUCAAAGCUUGUUAAGUAAGAUCAAGUGUGUGUCUUUUUUUGAUUGAAACUGUGAAGUAAAACAAGAGUGUGUUAUGAAAGUGUUUUUCUUUUCUCAAGGGAUUGUUGUUUAAGAUCACAGGUGUGAUUGUAGGGAAGUGAGUAGGUUCUCAUAUCUAAGAGUGCUUAGGUAGAAAUUGCACAGGUAGAGAUUAGGUGAGAAAGACUGUAACUUAUUGAAGUGUACGGAGAGUCUUUGAACUGAUUCUAUUUAGUGGAUUUCCUUCCUGGCUUGGUAGCCCCCAGACAUAGGUGAGUUGCACCGAAAUGGGUUAACAAUUGCUUAUGUCUUUUGCAUUACCAUUCUAUAUCUUUCUUCUGUUUGUGUUACUCAGAUAUUAGUGUCGUGACAUUACCUUCGACAUCUCAUAUCUGAUACCAGAAUUCACAUAACAUGUAAUCUCUGUUCAACCAUACAUCAUCCUUCCAUCAAAAACCCAUCAAUCAUCUCAAACUUCACCCCUAACAUCCCAUUUGAGAGAACCUAGCCAUAUUCAGUGUCAACCUCUAUAACAAGUUACAUCUGAACUUUAGAUUAUAACUGAAUAAGUUGUUCAGGAUCUAUCUCUAGUCUAAAUUGCUUAUGAAUCUACAGUUGAGUCUGAACAUAUUCCUUUUGACACACUUUACCCAGAAACCUCUCUAAAUCCACCUCACUUUUCAAACUAUUCAUCUGAACCUAGAUCCUCAAAGUCAAACACUGCAUCCCUCUCUCAAACUAUCCAAACUGACAUGGGUGUAAUCAGAAACAUUCUCUUGGAUAAAAUGCAGGGUUUGAUCGAUGAGCGACCAUUUGCAUCCGACCCACUAGCAUAUGUUGCUAGGUGGGAUUCUCUCAAGACAUCUGUUGCAUCAGUUAUUCAAAAUUUGAAGGAAGCACUUCAGAGUCUAUUACCUUAUCUUGUUCUAUGCAAGAUCUUUUAGAGGGGAGUAUGGCUUCUGUCAGUAUUUCUCAACAAGACAUGACUAUCAAACAAGCUGAAAUGGAUAAGUGGAUGAAAUCUAUGGAUGCCAUGAAAGACAUCAUGGGUGCAUACCUAAGGACAAUUUUGGAUAUUCUGAAGAAACCGUAGUUUUAGGAACUGAACCAUUUUUUUAUUAAAUUGUUUCCUUUUAUGAAAUAUUAUCUUUUUCUCUCUAUUUGUUUUGCAUGUCUUAUUAUCUUGCUUAUGUUUGUUACAUUAAGCUAUAUUUAUCUGGAAAUUAUGAUCGUUCUUAUGAUAAGUGUUUGAUAAUGUUUGUGCUUAGUUAUUUUUUGGAUGAAUGCUUUUUCUGAUACUCUCUUGAUGUUUAAACAAAUUCAAAGAAGAAUCAAAACAUGCAUAAUAUAUAUCAUUGCAAAAAAACGAGGGGGAGGAAAUUUUCAUUGAUAGACUAGGAAGAUUAUAAUAGUAUGUUAGAAUAAUAUUUGGUUAUGCAUCUAGACUUUAGUUUUGAUGAUAACAAUGUAUUGCUUCUUAUAGAACAAUUUUAUGCACUAAUGGUUUUUAUCUAGUUUGUAGCUUUUGCUAACAGAUUCUGACUCUGAAGCAAUGACGUGUGACGUCAUCAUAUUCUAGAAUCAACACACUCUGACUCUGAGAAGAUACAAGUGCUUUACAAGAUGCUGUCAAGUUUUAGAAAGCUCUUAGACAACAGUUCUGAUGAACGUUUAUGUUAAAGCUUCUGACUGUGAAUCUGAUUGAAGAUCCUCUAAAGGUUUAUAUGCCUUCAAGAUUUUGCGCUCAAGUUUUGAAGAUUCUGAAGAACAAGAUCUCAAGACUCUGAAGACCAGAUUUUGAGGAACUAUGUCAAGACUCUAAAGACCAAGGUUUUGAAGAUUCUAUCAUCUUGUCUCUUGAUCCUUCUAAGCAUGCUUCAACAUCAUUUCAUCAGAAGCCUCUAAAGAUUUGAAGAUAAGAUCAAAAGGUUUUGCGUUAGAAAAAUAGUACACAGUACAAGAUCAACCUUUUCUCCACUACGCUGAUUUUGUGGGAUAAGGAUAAUACUAUUAUACCAUUUUGCCUCCUAUAUGUAAACUGUUAUGAAAGAGACAACUGCAAUUCAAUAUUCCAAUUCUACCCUCCAACCGUUCUUUUAUAUGCCUAUAUAAAGGAUACUUGAAGAUUGGAAUAAACUGCUAAUUCAUUACGCUCAUAACUACACUAUUAUACAUGCUCUUGCUGAAAUCAUAUUAUUUAUGUGUAUAGUUUUGUAAACAUGCAAGAGUUUUUGCUCGUUACUGUGUGAGAAAUAUUUAUUGUAUUAACUUGUGUUAAUCUAUUUUCUUAGAAGCAUUCUUUGUGAACAUAACUUGUAAAUCUCAAAUUUGUUUGAAUGGUUUCCUUGAGUGACUAAGUUUUAGUCAGAUAGACUCAAGAAGAUAAAGAUGGUUUAUCUUUGUGGUGUUUGUAAUAAGGUUUUGGUUAUAGUGGAUUAAUAUGAGAAGGCAAAAUCAUCUUGGUAGGGUGGACUGGAGGUAGCUUUGUUAAUAACGAACCAGUAUAAAAAUAACUUUUUUAUUUUUCUUGUUCGUGUUUUUGCUUGAUUGAGUUGGUUUUGAAUUUUUUAUUUAUUCUUAGAAACCUAAUUCACCCCACCCCCCCUUUAUUGUGUUUCUUUCCACCUUCAUAGUCAUGGUGUAAGGUUUGCACUACAAAAUCUGAUGGCGAUUUAGGUAUUAAACACUGUCAAUCUUCCAACUUGGUUCUAAUCCGUAAUUGGUUGUGGAAAAUUGUUGACAAUCACAGAGCCUCCUAGAGUCAAGUUCUUUCCUUUAAAUAUGGAGAUAUCAAGUACCUUUUUCUUGAUCCAGAUAUCCCUUUUUCAUCAAAAUAUUCCUCAAUCUGGUGGCGUGAUCUUAGAAGCGUAGUAACUGCUUCGGGUAGUUAAGACAAUUGGUUUCAAAGCAUCAUUUCCUCUUAAAUUGGAGUACGUUCUAAAAUCGAUUCUUGGCGGUCCAACCUCUAAGAAUGCAGAUUAUGGCUUUAUUUGAUCUUUUUCAGCAUCAACGACUAACUGCUUGUGAUGAAGGUACUUGGUCCUCCCUUGGUUGGACUUGGAACCUUGGUCUUGAUCCUUAUUCUCUCUUCGCAGACCAAAAUUCAGAAUUCCAAGUCCUUCUCUCACUUUUUCACUCCAUAUCUCUAGAUCCUCUCAUUCGAGACACUUCAAUUUGGUGGUUGAACGCGACAAGAUUUUCUUCAAAAUCAGCUUACAAAAUUCGGUAUGUUGCUUUUGUUGUUGUUUCUUUGCAGGUUCUAAAUCAAGCUACGACUUUGGCAAUUUUGUGGAAAACCUUGGGUCCAACUAACAUUCACUUCUUUUCUUGGCGAUUGUUUUUGCGUAGAUUUCCAACAAGGGACGAACUAGCCAAUAAAGGAAAUCUAGUUGAAGCCCACAACCUUGUUUAUACCCUUUGCUUGGGUCAAGUGGAAGAUUUAAACCACCUUUUUCUCUUCUGUCUGGUAUCUUCUCAAGUGUGGUUUUCUAUUAUGUUGGUUGGGAUUGGAUUCACUUCCUACCCAAGAUGAUAUUCUUUCCCACUUCAUUGCCUUCGAUACAUGUUACAUAGGCAAGAAAAAAAAACUCUGUCUUCUUCCUUGAUUGGCUGUCGUCUGGUGCAUUUAGCAUAUUAGAAAUGAGACGCUUUUUAAAGAGGAUCAUAAAGGUGUAUUCGAAAUUGUUUCGCUAGCUAAAAAAUUGGAUUGAGAUUAACUUGAUGUUAGGCACAUUUUGUUGUUAGCUUGGAGGAUUGGAAUCAUAAUCUUAUAAUUUGUUUUACGUCAUUUUUCGGUUGUUUGUUGGAUUUUUCUCUUUUAUUGUAUCGUAUGGGUUGAGUACCCUUAAUAUUUAAUUUUAAUACAAUAGUUUACUUAUAAAAAAAUCACAACUUGUCAACUAACAAAAUAUCAUGUUCUAAUUUUUUUUUUCAUUUAACAAUGUCCGACACAAAGGGUCUGUUUGAAAUGUUUCUUAAACACUCUUUUUUAGUUUUUGAAAUUUUAAAAUUUUAAAAUUUGUUUGAAUAUAAUGUUUUGCAAAAGUGUUUUUAAAAACUCUUUUUUAUUUUUUAGUUUUUAAAAGCAAAAAAGUGAAAUAGUUUAGUUGUGUUUUGCUUCUUACUUUUUAGUAUUAUAAAGCUUGAAGAAAAAACAUAAAAAUUUAUAAUUUUCAUUAAUAGCAUUAAUGUAAUUUUAAUAAUUUUUAUAUUUUAAAAAUAAAAUAGAAAAACGUAUUUGAAAGAGUAUGUUAUUUCUUUUAUUUAUGCUGUCCUUUUUAUAUAGUAAGGAACCGUUUUCAAAAUAUGUUGUAUUUAUUUUACCUUAAUUUUUUGUUUUCUUAAUUAAUUUUCACUUCAAAUAUUUUUUUUUAUUCUAUAAAUGUGGAACUCACAUUUUUACAUUUUUUUUUUCUUCAUUAUUUAUACAAACCAAGUGUUAUGUGAUUUCAAUCACCGGAAAGAUUGGUGAACUAUGCUAGAGCGGGAGUUGGGCGGGAGCGAAGCCAGGAGGAAGAUCUGGUGGAGGCUCCAGCAGGGCGAUAAAAGUGCGCAGUGUGCAAAUCGUAAGAAAUUUUAGGUCGUNNNNNNNNNNNNNNNNNNNNNNNNNNNNNNNNNNNNNNNNNNNNNNNNNNNNNNNNNNNNNNNNNNNNNNNNNNNNNNNNNNNNNNNNNNNNNNNNNNNNNNNNNNNNNNNNNNNNNNNNNNNNNNNNNNNNNNNNNNNNNNNNNNNNNNNNNNNNNNNNNNNNNNNNNNNNNNNNNNNNNNNNNNNNNNNNNNNNNNNNNNNNNNNNNNNNNNNNNNNNNNNNNNNNNNNNNNNNNNNNNNNNNNNNNNNNNNNNNNNNNNNNNNNNNNNNNNNNNNNNNNNNNNNNNNNNNNNNNNNNNNNNNNNNNNNNNNNNNNNNNNNNNNNNNNNNNNNNNNNNNNNNNNNNNNNNNNNNNNNNNNNNNNNNNNNNNNNNNNNNNNNNNNNNNNNNNNNNNNNNNNNNNNNNNNNNNNNNNNNNNNNNNNNNNNNNNNNNNNNNNNNNNNNNNNNNNNNNNNNNNNNNNNNNNNNNNNNNNNNNNNNNNNNNNNNNNNNNNNNNNNNNNNNNNNNNNNNNNNNNNNNNNNNNNNNNNNNNNNNNNNNNNNNNNNNNNNNNNNNNNNNNNNNNNNNNNNNNNNNNNNNNNNNNNNNNNNNNNNNNNNNNNNNNNNNNNNNNNNNNNNNNNNNNNNNNNNNNNNNNNNNNNNNNNNNNNNNNNNNNNNNNNNNNNNNCAAAUAUCAAUUAAUUUUCUUAAGUUUGUAAUAUUUUAUACAAUAAAAUAGAUUUUAAAAAUAAAUGAUAAAAUAUGCAUUUUUAUUCUCUUCUUAAAAUACUAUUAAAAGAUUAGAUUAUCAAACAAAUUUUUUCAUUUUCAUAUUUUCAAAACAGUUUUUAAAAAUUAGUUUAUCAAACAAAUUUUUUGUUAAUUUUCUUCUUAAAGAUAGUUUUUUAAAAUAGAUUUGAAAAAUAAAUUUUAAGAACUAAAAUUGAAAAGUGUUUCAAACAGGCCCAAAGUUUCUUGAGGUGUUUUUACACUUUUUUUUCUUAAAUCCAAUUUUUCUCUUUCAUACAAUUUUAUAAAAUUUUCUAAAGUUAUUUAUCAAGUUUAUUCAAUCAUUCAAUCCUAAAGUUAUGUAUUAAUUUAUUAUAAAUUUGGAAAAAAUUCUAUACAGUAAAUUUUUUUUAAGAGUUGUAAUAAAACUUAAAUAAAAAUAAAACAUUUUUUAAUAAUAAACUUUUACUUCUUAGAGUUAGACAACAAUGUAUUCCCUUAUUCAAAUCGAGGUGCAGUGAGCUUUUUAAAUUACUUAUCUUGAGUAAGUGAUUAGAAGUUGCGAAAAGAGUUUCUCAAAUUGAAAUUCUCUCAAAUCAAUAUGUUUUUAAUACAUUGUUAUUGUUGUAAGAAAUGUUGUUAUAUAUUUUUUCUUAACUCAAUUCUACAAGUUUAUCUGUUAAAACUAACCCUAUUUAGACUACGUCUCAAAGUAACGUGUGAUUUGUACUUUUCUUAGAUGCUUCUUUGCGUCAAAGAAAAGAAACAUUGUUUUAUAGCCAAAAAGUAAUCACUACGCCAAAUAAGGGAAAAAAUGACGCUUUUUUUGGCCUAUAACAGCGCUUUAAAGCGCCCUCUAAUCUGGCGCUAGCAUAGGUAAAGACAGCGUUUUUUUUCCUGGUGAAAGCGCUCUCUAAAGUGGCUCUUUAAGCCCUUUAAGGGCCACUUUAGAGGGCGAUUUUUAAAGAAAGCGCCCUCUAAAGUGGAAACUUUUAAGGGUUUAGAGGGCGCUGUUUACUGCUGAGAAGCGCGCCUCUAAAGUGGAAAAGCCGACUCUUUGUUUAAGGUUGUUUCGAUGGGCGGCUUGUUACUGGAAGAGCGCCCUCGGUAGAAGGUGGGAAAAUUUAUGAAAGGUUGGUUAGGAGGGCGCGUCGGAUUUUGGAAAGGCGGCCCGUCGGUAGGAGAGGUGGGUGUCUUAUUUUUUUAUUAUUUUGUAAAAAGCGCUGAAAUUGAGGUGUUGGUAUGUUUUGGUUAGACAACGUGUAAUAGGUUGAAGCAGGCUAAGCCGUAUAAACUGUAUAGAUUGUGAAGCCCUGUUUUCACACGAUGUGCAUGUAUAUAAGCGGUGUAGUAUACGAAUCAGUCCGUAGAUAUACAAACAAUCUGCAUCUAUAUAUAAUCUUGUGUACGUUCUAAAGAUUCUAAUAUAGCAGGAUUCUCAAUUCAUUAAUCUAAUAUAAAAUAAAAUUAAGUAGCAAAGACAUCUUCGAAGAUAUGCUUUUUUGGCAGGCUAGGCUAUGUCUUUCUUAGCAAUACAUACCUCUUUUUGUUCUGAUUAUCAUAUUAGCAUUUUUAUAUUUUUUUUUUACUAAUAAUACAUAGAAAAGUUUAGGUGUAUAUAUAGAUUUCAAGAUUAACAUUUUCUUAAUGCAUAAUCAUAUUAUUAUUGUUGUUAUUCCUUAUUGUCAUUAUUCACUCUGAUUGCUGUAAAUAAAUUAUCUCAUUUUUAACUCUGUAAUUAAAUGAAAUUAAGAUCUUUUUUGGGACUCUUGUUCUUCUUCUUGUUUUUUUUCUAUUCUUAUUUCUCUCUUUUCUUUCUUUGGUUUUUGAUAUUAUUGUUUUUAUUUCAUUGUUCUUUUUAUGUAUUUACACAGGACGGUUUGGAUUGAUGCCAAAUGGACCCUCGCAUUAGGAUAUUUCUAAUCAUAUGAAAUCAUUUUUUUGAUUAUUAUUAUUUAUUUUUUCUUUUCUUAUAUACUUAUAUACUUAUUAAUUAUUACUACUUCUUUGUUUAUUUGUAUAUUUCUAAUCAUGUGAGAUAAUAUUAUUAUUAUUGAUUGUAUUAAUCAUACUAUUUGGUCAAUCUAACUUUUCAUAUGUUGUAUUUCUUAUUCUUAUUGUCUGUUGUCUAUUCAAUUUAUGUUAAGUAUACUAUAAUAUAUCUUUAUCUAUUUAGAUAUUGUAUAUAUCCUCCUUUUAUGUAUUGAUGUUGUAUUUUCUGUGUUAUUCUCUUCUAUUGUCUGUAUACGUUCUUUUUCUUCAUCCUUGCUCUGACAUGGUUUAUCUUUGUCAUUGUUAUUGUAAUUAUUAUUAUUUUGUUUCCUUAUCCCCUUCUCUUUUGUAUAUAUUUAUUCUUUUUUUUUAUUGUUUUCUUCUUGUAUUCUGUGUUAUAUUUUUCUCUGUUUCUUUUUUUUCAUCUAUUCUAUUUUUAUAUUAUAUUGUUAUCUCUUAUUCUAUUUUUAUAUUUAUUUCCAAGUUUUUUUCAUGUGUUAUUCUCUAGUCAUUAAUUUAUAUUUUCAUAUAUGUAUUAUUUGUUUGGUUCAUUUAUUUAAUUACUCAUAUAUUGUUUCAUGAUAUUUCUUGAUUAUUUCUGUUGGUUUCUUUUUAUAUGUGUCAACAGAACUAAAGAUUAGUUAUAUCAGUUGUAAUCACUUUUAUGCCGGUGCUUCAUAGAAGCUGCAUAGAUUUAAGCAAAUACAUAAGGAAGUAGCAUAGCAGCAUCACUCACCCUCACAAAAAAUGUAGCCUGGUUUACAGCUCGGAGGGCACAGGUUAUAUAAUGGCACCAAGAGCAGUAAUCAUUCAAGUCCACCCUUUUAAAGAACAAGACGCGCCGCCGACCAAUCUGUAAACAACCACUUUCACAUUGGAGACACUAGUACAUAACAAUGUAAUUCCACCUAACAGCAAACAACAAAAAAAGGAGAGAGACACUACCCAACACUAAGUAGCACAAAAGAGAUAAUCCGAAGCGCAUAUUGAAUAAGAUUCUUGCUUCUGGGAAGUAUUAACUUGUUUAGAUUAAGCCAAUGAUGCUGACGGCGAGUCAAAAUGACAAAUCCAAGAAGAAAUCCUGAUGUAAACCCUCCAAUGUUACUAAAAUUACUUCCAAAUGGAAAAGUUCCAAGACUAAGUCCAAAACUAUGAUCACAACAAGAAUCAACAUCUCAAUAAAUGCAAACCAAUAACAAAAAUAUAUCUAUUAGACACCAUCAUUGAGCUUAAUAACUUAUAAACCUAUUUAUUUACCUAUGAGUAUGCAUUUCCCAAUUUGUUAAAACUCUGAUAGCAUCACUCCUAGUAAGCCGAAUAUUGCACAGAAAUGCACCAACGUAGAUGAAUUGAAUGGAGGAAUAAAACACACAGCAAAUUUCCUCCCAAACCCGAUAUCACAUACACCAAUCCAAUUCGAACUAAAAAAGCAAGUAAAACAGUUAUCAUAUUCAAAAUUGGCACAUAGAAGAACCAGACGCCAAUAACCAGAACCUUACCAAAACCAAAUUUCUUCUUCAAGAGGAAUUUGAAGAUUAGAAAAUGAACAAUAGCGAACGUCAGAAGAGAAACCAAGUAAUAUGAAGAUUAGAAAAAUACCUAUGGUGUCAAAAUCGAAUAGCUAACAACGAAUUAAUAGAAGGAGGAAACGUCGUAGAUCUAACAGAGUGAAGGAGAACGCCUUAGAAGUAGCGAAAAUCGUAGGCAGUGAGAACCUAACGUGAAAAGAACGAAAAUAACAGAGAGAUGAAAUAACAAAACGGGCAUUAUGUAUAAUUUUAAUGUUUACUAAAGGGGACCUUAGAGGGCGCUUGUGGAAAAAAAGCGCCCUCUAAAGGGGCCUAAGAGGGCGCUUAUGAAAGCGCUCUCUAAGGCUUUCCAAAAACGCUUUAUAAACUGGAAAUGCACAAUGGACUUAUAGAGCGCUUUUUUAAAAGCGCCCUCUAAGGGUAACCUUAGAGGGCGCUUUCUAAAAAGCGCCCUGUAUUGUUGUCCCUCUAUCUCCUCCUUAUUUUUUUGCUUCACCUUAGAGAGCGCUUUAUUAUAAAAGCGCCCUCUAAAGUGCGCUGUCUAUUCCAGUUGUUCGCUCCUUAUUUUUUCGCUUAACUUUAGAGUGCGCUUUUGUAAUAAAGCGCCCUCUAAGGUGCGCUGUCUAUUCCAAUUUUUCGCAUAGUGAAUGAUUAAAAAUAUAAAAACUAUUAAAUAUUAAAUGAAUAAUUGAAAAAGUGAAGAUAUACAUUAAAAAAUAUAAUUAUCUAUAAUACUGAUACGCACUUAUGAAGUUUUUUUUUGUCUGUGGAUACAAUAUCAAAUAUAAUAUUCACACAUAACUAUUUAGCAUUCUAGUUUAAACCACCACUGAAAAUCUUUAAUCUAGCAAUAUUGAUAUUGGUUAUAUAGUUAUUUUCUAUCAAAUUUAUGAUAGGUUAGUUUAGUGAUAAAAAUUCAUUGACUUUUAUUUUAACCACCUAAAAAGUAAUACAAACGGAUGAUUGUGAUGCAUUGACAGUGUAAAACUUUUUAUACUGAAAAUACAUAACAAUUAAUCUCAUAAUAAUAAUAAUAAUAAUAAUAAUAAUAAUAAUAAUAAUAAUAGAUCGAGCUUAUCCCUUUAAAUCAAGAAUAUUUGUUUCUUGCAAGGGGAAAUCACCAACCUUAUCACAACAUUACUAAAAUUGGAAUGUGAUGCAAAAGAUGGCCAUAUCCUUCGCAUCGUGCUAUCAUUAGGAGCAUUAAUCUUAAUAAAUUAUAUAAAAGUACAAUAACAUGCUAUAAUAAACUAAUCAAUAAAGAAACAAGGAUAACUUCAACAAUAUCGCUUUAUAUAAUGCAACUAAUAUAUUCUUUAACACAUAUUUUUUGUGAGCAUAAUUUUUUAUUGAUCAAAAGUUAAUAUAGAUCGCACUAUAAGGUCAACAUGAUUUGAUCGGAUUUAUAUGAAUUUUAAUAAGGACAAUCUUUUAAUAAUAAAAUAAAAUGUGAUAGAAAGUAUAUUGUUAACAUUUCUCUUGUCCAUGAUUACGGAUGAUAAUAUAAAGAAUUUUGACUGUAAUAUUGUCUUUAUAUACGUGGUUUAAAAAAAUUCUCAUAUUUGAAUCAUAUUUAUUUGUAUCCGUAUGUAUGAGUAUUCACGUAUCAAUAAAUAUAUUUAUCUAUUAUCUAUAUUUUUAAUAAAAAAUAGUGGGAUAUCAGUGUGUUCGUACGGAUACUGAUCUAUUAUGUGCAUUUGUUUUUAAAAUAUAACAAUAAUGUAAAAAAAAUUAAAACAAAAUUGAUUUAUCAAAAUAAUUUAUCAUUUAAAAAAAUAAUAUAUAUUUUGAAUUAUAUACAAAUAUAUAAUCUAAAAAUAUUUGGAUGAACCAUAAUUUUUGUUUUGACAUUAUUUAUAAAAGUAUUUGAAAAAAAACUUAUCCCAAUUUAUGAAAUAGAAAGACAAAAUUAUUUAAUCAAGAAAGUUUAUUAUUUUCAAAAGAAAACAUAUUUUUAUUUAUAUUUAAAACAUACAUAUAGUUUUUUCAUAUAUACAAACAUUUGGAUCAAUAAUAUAUUUUCUCGUAUGUAAAUAUUAAUUUUGUUUUGACAUUAUUUAUAAAAAUAUUUAUACAAUCAUUUAAUUUCAUAAAUAUCAACCAAUAACAUAGUAUUUGUAAAUAUUUUUUUAAUUAUAUAAAUAAAUAUUAGUAACAUAAAUAGAUACAUUCCCGCUCAAGUGUGAGUCUACGAUGCUCCCCCUCAAGUGAAAGUUCUUCUUACUUCCACAAACUCGUGUACCGCACGGAAUAUUUCUUAUUCACCACACUAGUGCCGUUGACUUUCGAUACAAGUAAGUCGGUUCUUUUCUCGAACCAAAGGCUCUGAUACCAUUUGUUGGGGGAGUUUUUCACUAGGGACAUUGAAUAUUGUGGGACUUCUUCUUUUAGAGCAACACCUUU